GUUAUAUGGUCAAGUGAAGAAGCGCAUACGGUGGAUGCCUUGGCAGUCAGAGGCGAUGAAAGACGUGGUAGCCUGCGAAAAGCUUCGGGGAGUCGGCAAACAGACUGUGAUCCGGAGAUGUCUGAAUGGGGGAACCCAGCUGUCAUAAGACAGUUACCUUACACUGAAUACAUAGGUGUAUGGAGCGAACCAGGGGAACUGAAACAUCUAAGUACCCUGAGGAAAAGAAAUCAACCGAGAUUCCCUUAGUAGUGGCGAGCGAACGGGGACCAGCCCUUAAGUUGAUUUGAGAUUAGCGGAACGCUCUGGAAAGUGCGGCCAUAGUGGGUGAUAGCCCUGUACGCGAAAAUCUCUUGUCAAUGAAAUCGAGUAGGACGGGGCACGAGAAACCUUGUCUGAACAUGGGGGGACCAUCCUCCAAGGCUAAAUACUACUGACUGACCGAUAGUGGAACCAGUACCGUGAGGGAAAGGCGAAAAGAACCGCGGAGAGCGGAGUGAAAUAGAUCCUGAAACCGUAUGCGUACAAGCCAGUGGGAGCCCACUUUGUUGGGUGACUGCGUACCUUUUGUAUAAUGGGUCAGCGACUUAUUUUCAGUGGCGAGCUUAACCGAAUAGGGGAGGCGUAGCGAAAGCGAGUCUUAAUAGGGCGUCUAGUCGCUGGGAAUAGACCGAAACCGGGCGAUCUAUCCAUGGGCAGGUUGAAGGUUAGGUAACACUGACUGGAGGACCGAACCGACUACCGUUGAAAAGUUAGCGGAUGACCUGUGGAUCGGAGUGAAAGGCUAAUCAAGCUCGGAGAUAGCUGGUUCUCCUCGAAAGCUAUUUAGGUAGCGCCUCAUGUAUCACUGUAGGGGGUAGAGCACUGUUUCGGCUAGGGGGUCAUCCCGACUUACCAAACCGAUGCAAACUCCGAAUACCUACAAGUGCCGAGCAUGGGAGACACACGGCGGUGCUAACGUCCGUCGUGAAAAGGGAAACAACCCAGACCGUCAGCUAAGGUCCCAAAGUCAUGGUUAAGUGGGAAACGAUGUGGGAAGGCUUAGACAGCUAGGAGGUUGGCUUAGAAGCAGCCACCCUUUAAAGAAAGCGUAAUAGCUCACUAGUCGAGUCGGCCUGCGCGGAAGAUGUAACGGGGCUCAAACCAUGCACCGAAGCUACGGGUAUCACGCAAGUGAUGCGGUAGAGGAGCGUUCUGUAAGCCUGUGAAGGUGAGUUGAGAAGCUUGCUGGAGGUAUCAGAAGUGCGAAUGCUGACAUGAGUAACGACAAUGGGUGUGAAAAACACCCACGCCGAAAGACCAAGGUUUCCUGCGCAACGUUAAUCGACGCAGGGUUAGUCGGUCCCUAAGGCGAGGCUGAAAAGCG
Molecule: ribosomal RNA, 1366 nt
Filed under: Pseudomonas lutea
Lineage: Bacteria; Pseudomonadati; Pseudomonadota; Gammaproteobacteria; Pseudomonadales; Pseudomonadaceae
Description: bacterial LSU rRNA
Rfam family: Bacterial large subunit ribosomal RNA
Source: RNAcentral